CCCGCUGAACUUAAGCAUAUCAAUAAGCGGAGGAAAAGAAACCAACAGGGAUUGCCCUAGUAGCGGCGAGUGAAGCGGCAACAGCUCAGAUUUGAAAUCCGGCCCCCGGGCCCGAGUUGUAAUCUGUAGAGGAUGCUUCUGGCGAGGCACCUUCCGAGUCCCCUGGAACGGGGCGCCGGAGAGGGUGAGAGCCCCGUACGGUCGGAUGCCAGACCUCUGUGAAGCUCCUUCGACGAGUCGAGUAGUUUGGGAAUGCUGCUCAAAGCGGGAGGUAAAUUCCUUCUAAAGCUAAAUACCGGCCAGAGACCGAUAGCGCACAAGUAGAGUGAUCGAAAGAUGAAAAGCACUUUGGAAAGAGGGUUAAACAGCACGUGAAAUUGUUGAAAGGGAAGCGCUUGCGACCAGACUCGCGCCGUGCGGAUCAUCCCGCGUUUUCGCUGGUGCACUCCGCGCGGCGCGGGCCAGCAUCGGUUCCCGCGGGGGGAUAAAAGCUCCGGGAAUGUGGCUCCCUCGGGAGUGUUAUAGCCCGCCGCGCAAUGCCUCCUCGGGGACCGAGGUUCGCGCUCUGCAAGGAUGCUGGCGUAAUGGUCGUCAGCGACCCGUCUUGAAACACGG
RNAcentral lists this ribosomal RNA (615 nucleotides) under uncultured fungus. RNAcentral's name for it is "eukaryotic LSU rRNA". It matches the Rfam family "Eukaryotic large subunit ribosomal RNA", at positions 24 to 664 of the family's 3401-position model. The record is from RNAcentral. Lineage: Eukaryota; Fungi.